AGGACGAACGCUGGCGGCGUGCUUAACACAUGCAAGUCGAGCGGAAAGGCCCUUCGGGGUACUCGAGCGGCGAACGGGUGAGUAACACGUGAGUAAUCUGCCCCUAUGCUCUGGGAUAGCUCCGGGAAACCGGGAUUAAUACCAGAUACGACCACUUUAGACAUCUGUUGUGGUGGAAAGAAUUUUGGCUAGGGAUGAGCUCGCGGCCUAUCAGCUUGUUGGUGAGGUAACGGCUCACCAAGGCGACGACGGGUAGCCGGCCUGAGAGGGCGACCGGCCACACUGGGACUGAGACACGGCCCAGACUCCUACGGGAGGCAGCAGUGGGGAAUAUUGCGCAAUGGGCGAAAGCCUGACGCAGCGACGCCGCGUGGGGGAUGAAGGCCUUCGGUUGUAACCCUUUCAGCAGGGACGAAGCGAAAGUGACGGUACCUGCAGAAGAAGCGCCGGCUAACUACGCGCCAGCAGCCGCGAUAA
RNAcentral lists this ribosomal RNA (477 nucleotides) under uncultured bacterium. RNAcentral's name for it is "SSU rRNA". It matches the Rfam family "Bacterial small subunit ribosomal RNA", at positions 26 to 523 of the family's 1533-position model. The record is from RNAcentral.